Molecule: ribosomal RNA, 440 nt
Filed under: uncultured bacterium
Lineage: Bacteria
Description: partial 16S ribosomal RNA
Rfam family: Bacterial small subunit ribosomal RNA
Source: RNAcentral
CCUACGGGUGGCUGCAGUGAGGGAUAUUCGUCAAUGGGCGAAACCCUGACCCAGCAACGCCGCGUGAGUGAAGACGGUUUUCGGAUUGUAAACCUCUGUUCUCUGGGAAGAUAAUGCCGGUAACAAACUAGGCAGCUCCGGCUAACUACUUACCAGCAGCCGCGGUAAUACGUAGGGAGCAAGCGUUGUCCGGAUUUACUGGGUGUAACGGGUGCGUAGGCGGCCCUGCAAGUCAGAAGUGAAAGCCAUGGGCUUAACCCGUGAACUGCUUUUGAAACUGUAGGGCUUGAGUGAAGUAGAGGCAGGCGGAAUUCCAGGUGUAGCGGUGAAAUGCGUAGAGAUCGGGAGGAACACCAGUGGCGAAGGCGGCCUGCUGGGCUUUAACUGACGCUGAAGUACGAAAGCGUGGGUAGCAAACAGGAUUAGAUACCCGGGUAGUC